GCUUCAGUGGCCUAGUGGUUAGAGCAUCUGCCUCAUAUGCGGUAGGUAACGGGUUCGAAUCCUGGCCAAAUCA
Non-coding RNA from Potamilus streckersoni, 73 nucleotides. The record is from the annotation of a GenBank genome assembly. Lineage: Eukaryota; Metazoa; Mollusca; Bivalvia; Unionida; Unionidae.